GAGGCGAGGGGAUAUGACGUCACGUCGAGGUCCCCUUUAAACAAAGUGCUCCACCUGUCGUCCAGGCCUCUUCCUCAGACGUUUCUCCAAAGAAAAUCCAGAAACUGGCUAUUCUGGACUCCUUCCUUCCCAC
This is a non-coding RNA of Pogona vitticeps (central bearded dragon), 133 nucleotides long. Lineage: Eukaryota; Metazoa; Chordata; Lepidosauria; Squamata; Agamidae. The record is from RefSeq and is a predicted model, not a curated record.